GGAAAUGGCUCAGUGGUAGAGUGCAUGCUUAGUGUGCCCAAGAUCCUGGGUUCAAUCCCCAGUACUUCCA
This 70-nucleotide transfer RNA is filed under the name Camelus bactrianus (Bactrian camel). It matches the Rfam family "tRNA". Rfam says of the family: Transfer RNA (tRNA) molecules are approximately 80 nucleotides in length. Their secondary structure includes four short double-helical elements and three loops (D, anti-codon, and T loops). The record is from Rfam by way of RNAcentral. Lineage: Eukaryota; Metazoa; Chordata; Mammalia; Artiodactyla; Camelidae. RNAcentral also lists the same sequence under 2 other names.